GGCUGGUCCAAGGUCGAGAGUUAUCUCAAUUGAUUGAUCACAACCAGUUGCAGAUUUCUUUGUUCCUUCUCCACUCCCACUACUUUACUUGAACAGCCAUCC
Molecule: Y RNA, 102 nt
Filed under: Peromyscus maniculatus bairdii (prairie deer mouse)
Lineage: Eukaryota; Metazoa; Chordata; Mammalia; Rodentia; Cricetidae
Description: Y RNA (ENSPEMG00000026882.1)
Rfam family: Y RNA
About the family: Y RNAs are components of the Ro ribonucleoprotein particle (Ro RNP), in association with Ro60 and La proteins. The Y RNAs and Ro60 and La proteins are well conserved, but the function of the Ro RNP is not known. In humans the RNA component can be one of four small RNAs -- hY1, hY3, hY4 and hY5.
Source: Rfam by way of RNAcentral